Molecule: ribosomal RNA, 429 nt
Filed under: Chloroflexota bacterium
Lineage: Bacteria; Bacillati; Chloroflexota
Description: Chloroflexi bacterium partial 16S ribosomal RNA
Rfam family: Bacterial small subunit ribosomal RNA
Source: RNAcentral
UAGGGAAUCUUCGGCAAUGGACGAAAGUCUGACCGAGCAACGCCGCGUGAGUGAAGAAGGUUUUCGGAUCGUAAAACUCUGUUGUUAGAGAAGAACAAGGACGUUAGUAACUGAACGUCCCCUGACGGUAUCUAACCAGAAAGCCACGGCUAACUACGUGCCAGCAGCCGCGGUAAUACGUAGGUGGCAAGCGUUGUCCGGAUUUAUUGGGCGUAAAGCGAGCGCAGGCGGUUUCUUAAGUCUGAUGUGAAAGCCCCCGGCUCAACCGGGGAGGGUCAUUGGAAACUGGGAGACUUGAGUGCAGAAGAGGAGAGUGGAAUUCCAUGUGUAGCGGUGAAAUGCGUAGAUAUAUGGAGGAACACCAGUGGCGAAGGCGGCCCCCUGGACGAAGACUGACGCUCAGGUGCGAAAGCGGGGGGAGCAAACAGG